This 337-nucleotide unclassified non-coding RNA is filed under the name Hevea brasiliensis (rubber tree). The record is from RNAcentral. Lineage: Eukaryota; Viridiplantae; Streptophyta; Magnoliopsida; Malpighiales; Euphorbiaceae.
UGUGAACUAAGUAACUAAGUAUAAUUGAAAUGCAAUUUAAGUAAUGUAAAUGAAAAGAAUUAAAAAUUUUGCAAAAAAUUUGCCCUCCCCCAAACUCAAAUUAGACAAUGUCCUCAUUGGCUUAAUUGAAGUGACAGAAAUAUCAAUGAAAUCAAUAAAUGAUAACUAAGAGAGAUAUAAACUAAGAAAGAGUGGAACAAAGUUACCAUGUAGAACGUACAUGCCUAGUGGUUAAUGAUUAGAAUAUGUACAUGAGGCAUGUUAAUUAUAAGUAUUGGGAGCAUGAGGCAUGUUAAUCAAAAAGCAUGAGUUUUGUUGAAGUAAAGGUAAAUUAGCA